Rhododendron vialii is the source of this 630-nucleotide long non-coding RNA. RefSeq lists it as uncharacterized. The record is from RefSeq and is a predicted model, not a curated record. NCBI's taxonomy places the organism in Eukaryota, Viridiplantae, Streptophyta, Magnoliopsida, Ericales, Ericaceae. The transcript is spliced from 4 exons.
AACCAAACAAAACAAAGCGCACAUAUUUCUCCUAGUUUUGCACCCGCUCUUCUAGCCCCAAACAAAAUGUCCAUCAAGUUUCUCCUAGUGGUGCUCCUUGCUGUGGUGGCUCUCACCACUUCUCACCAGCCGACCACCACAAACCACCUACUAAUCCCAGCCACAAACCACCUGCCGUAGAAGUAGAGGAUGGGGUUCAAUUGGGACAAGGGAUUCUUCCAGUUCAGAAUGAUCAAAUCAUCCACGUAAAGGAGGGUGUUCUGACCAGCAAAAGCGCCUACGAAGGGGUUUCAGCAGAGAACAAUGGAAUUGCAGAGAACGCGAAAAGCCGAAGAAGUUUGGUGGGUGGAAGGGAUCCAUACGUAGAUGUGAUAGAUUACGCUCCUGCGCAUGCAACACCUCCAAUCCACAACUAAUUGACUCUUGGAAACAACUGCCAGUGAUGAAAAUGUUUUUGAAGAAAAUAUAUUGAGUUUUGGAGAAAAAAGGUAGGAAAUGGAAAUAAGAGCAGUAAAUGCACCACAAAUGUAUUGUUCUUGAUUUUGUAUGGGAAACAUAUUUUGUACUUCAGAUUUGUACGGCAACAAAUUUUGCCUUCUGAAAAUGUUAUUGAACUGAGAAAAAUGCUCA